RNAcentral lists this ribosomal RNA (460 nucleotides) under uncultured bacterium. RNAcentral describes it as "partial 16S ribosomal RNA". It matches the Rfam family "Bacterial small subunit ribosomal RNA", at positions 338 to 795 of the family's 1533-position model. The record is from RNAcentral.
CCUACGGGCGGCAGCAGUGAGGAAUAUUGGUCAAUGGCCGGAAGGCUGAACCAGCCAAGUCGCGUGAAGGAAGAAGGAUCUAUGGGUUGUAAACCUCUUUUAUAGGGGAAUAAAGGAAGCCACGUGUGGAUAUUUGCAUGUACCCUAUGAAUAAGCAUCGGCUAACUCCGUGCCAGCAGCCGCGGUAAUACGGAGGAUGCGAGCGUUAUCCGGAUUUAUUUGGUUUAAAGGGUGCGUAGGUUGUUUUUUAAGUCAGCGGUUAAAGUUUGUGGCUCAACCAUAGAAUUGCCGUUGAAACUGGAAGACUUGAGUGUGUUUGAGGUAGGCGGAAUGCGUGGUGUAGCGGUGAAAUGCAUAGAUAUCACGCAGAACUCCGAUUGCGAAGGCAGCUUACUAGGCCGUAACUGACGCUGACGCACGAAAGCGUGGGUAUCAAACAGGAUUAGAUACCCCUGUAGUC